GACGAACGCUGGCGGCGUGCCUAAUACAUGCAAGUCGAGCGAAGUUUUUCUGGUGCUUGCACUAGAAAAACUUAGCGGCGAACGGGUGAGUAACACGUAAAGAACCUGCCUCAUAGACUGGGACAACUAUUGGAAACGAUAGCUAAUACCGGAUAACAGUAUUUCUCGCAUGAGAGAUAUUUAAAAGUUGGUUAUGCUAACACUAUGAGAUGGCUUUGCGGUGCAUUAGCUAGUUGGUGGGGUAAAGGCCCACCAAGGCGACGAUGCAUAGCCGACCUGAGAGGGUGAUCGGCCACACUGGGACUGAGACACGGCCCAGACUCCUACGGGAGGCAGCAGUAGGGAAUCUUCCGCAAUGGGCGAAAGCCUGACGGAGCAACGCCGCGUGAGUGAAGAAGGAUUUCGGUUCGUAAAGCUCUGUUGUUAGGGAAGAAUGGAUAUGUAGUAAC
Molecule: ribosomal RNA, 449 nt
Filed under: Gemella morbillorum
Lineage: Bacteria; Bacillati; Bacillota; Bacilli; Caryophanales; Gemellaceae
Description: bacterial SSU rRNA
Rfam family: Bacterial small subunit ribosomal RNA
Source: RNAcentral